Molecule: non-coding RNA, 478 nt
Organism: Saimiri boliviensis boliviensis (Bolivian squirrel monkey)
Lineage: Eukaryota; Metazoa; Chordata; Mammalia; Primates; Cebidae
Source: RefSeq, a predicted model, not a curated record
UUUUCCUUCUUCAGAAACUACCCUAAACAAGGAAGCUCGUGUUCCAAGGUAAGAGAAUCUGAAACGAAAAACUCAGGACCCCUCACGAGCACGCUGCUUUCAACCAGGAAGUUCAAGGGAGGCAGGGCUGUAAGGUCAAAACUGCAAAGCCGAAGCUCAAGACUGACUGUAAGCAGAAAGUGGUCUUCAGAGAAAAGGAUUCACCCAAAUCGAAGAGCAUAUCGUUUCGCGUCAGGGACACUCUUCUCCACACCUUCUACCUCCAAGUCUUGCGCACCUACCCUUCACGUCUCUCCAAAGCAACUGAAUGAAAGCGCCUACUGGCCUUGGCGGCGCAGGUCCCAAGAUUUUGACUAGUUGGUUAUAUGACUAGAGUUGCUGGACUUCAAGUAAUUUUAUUUUAACUAUUAAACUGAAAGCAGCAUGUUACCAAAGAAUUUACUGAGAAGAAGCAAAGUAGUACUUGGAAGAACUCUAA